UCGAACUCACAGAGAUACACCUGCCUCUGCCUCCCGGUGCUGGGAUUAAAGGCGUGCGCCACCACCAUCCAGCUAUGUGUGGGAUUUCUUUUAAGCGUUCAAUGCCUCCACCAUCAUUUGCCCUCCUGAGGCCCCCUGUACACAAGUGCUGCUUACAUACACGCAGGCAAAAACAUUUAUACACAAGAUCUUUUUUUUUUAAUUGAAAGUGCCUUUGCCAUCUGACUAACAAAACAACCAUGCAUUUAAGCUUUAAAGCUCUUAGGUUAAAAAAAAAAGUUCAAAUAUUAGACUGUUGUAAUGAUGUAGAAUUUCCCUCUGUAUGCUGUGAUUACCAUUAAUGAAUAAAGAAACUGGCUUGGACUGUUGAUAGGGCAGAACUUAGGUAGGUGGGGAAAACUAAACAGAAUGCUGGGAGAAGGCAGGAAGAGAAGCGAUGUAACCCUGCCAGAGACAGAUGUCAGAACCUUGCAGGUAGUGUUCCCAAAUGUGAUGGAGGGCAGAGUCCUGGCCUCAGAGGGUCACAGAACUGCCUGGCACUUGGUUUUUGGUAUCUACUCCCUAUUUCCACACAACAAUGUUAAUGGUAGUUUAUCCCCAUUAUUCCACAGGAUUCAGGAUGCUGACUUCAGUAUGGAUACACAGGACAGCAAGGCAGUAUUGAUGUGUGACUUGAACUAUAUUGGUUUGCUCUUUCAUCAUGUGGCAGCUGGUUAAGUGUAAGCCCGUGGAGUGCUGGAUCUUGUGUGGCUGUAGUCACAGAUGCCUAUGAGCAGCCAUCAUAGGCACUAGGAGUCAGAUCACCAAGAUGACCUAGGAGAGGGCAUAUGUUGCGAGACAGAGACAACUGAGACAUGCGACUAUCUCCAAGCUGCCAGCCACCAUGCUUGCACCAGUGGUCAUCAGUGUUUUCCUGUUAUUUGAAGAAAAUCGAGGACCUUAAAACUUUCCCGCACAUCAGAGGUGGUCCCAGAUAACUACUUGAAGAUGCAGGCUGGAGGGAACUAACUGGGAGAUGGCUGACCUAAUCACGCAGAAGCUCCAAGUGCACAUGCGCCAAGAGCACAAGCCCUCAUGUGUUCUACCCUAUUAGUAUUCCCUAGCUACAUAAAUUCCCCAACCAUGAGUCAAGACUCCCCCAAUGUAAUCAAGAACCACAGGCAUCCAAAUAUAAAUUUGUGAAAUUUUUCUUUACAAGAAACAUAUAAGUCAUUAUAAAGUUGUAAGAUUUCAAAAACAAGUUUUCUUCAGUCCAAAGAGCGUAAACAAUAAAGAAAAGAAACAUUGCAACAGAGGACAGCAAGGCUCUGCAACCACAAAAAUCAUCAGAGAAACCACAGGCCAGGAAGGUCCUCAGGACAGGGUUACUGGAAACGCCAUUCACAGCAAUUUCAUCAAGGUCUUACUACUCUUAAAGGGUUCUGCCAAAAACAAGUAUUUUUAAUGAGAUUAAAUAAACCAAAAUAAUUACAUUACAACUGAGUUCAUGAAAUGUAACAUCAGUAAUCCGUCACAUUGAGGAUGUUUAGGUUUCCAAGCACAGGUCCCUUUGUUAAGUCUGUAUGUAAAGGCAGACAUCAGCCCCUACCAUCAGCCCUACAGUGUCUUCUGCCUGUAGUUCUUCACUGCACCUUACUACAACACGCAUUCCUCUUUACAGCUCACCACGUGACACACACUUUGUUUUCUGUUGAAUAUAAUCCUGGCACAGACUGCGCAGGUCAAACACUGAAGACAACUUCACAGUGAUACUGAACACACAUUUGUCAUCAUCUUGCUCGCUCUGAAAGGCCAUCUGGUACAGCAGGGUCUGACCUAGAAAAUAACUCCCGCACUAAACUGCUUACAGCCUUUUCCAGAUUAACAAAGCCACGUGUGGCACUGUACAAACUUGACUUGGAAAAGAGAUCACACUAGGUAAGUUUUGUUUGUAAAUUUUAACAAUUUAGAAAAAUCAGAAUACAACAUUUCAUGCCUAUAUUUUAAGGCUAUUGAGGCUCAAAAGAAAGCAUUAGAAAUUACAAAAUAUUCUCACCUUUUUUUAUUACAAAUAGAAACUCUGCAAAUGGUAUUUAUAUUAAAGUUGCAAUGUUAGGAUUGCAAAAUGCCCUACACCAGGUCACAAGAUUCAAUUAAGGAAAAAUAUUUACGCAAAGAUUUUUCCAAUUUUCUUAUUUUAUGAAAUGGAAUAGAAAAAUAUCUUAAAUUAAAACCCCACAAAGUGCCAUUCCUCUAAAAAUAAAACCUCCAAAUAAUAUAUGGUUUUAAUUAUUCUUUAUAACCUCUAUAUAUAGUCUAUAUAUAUUAAUAUGUAUUUCUGCAACCUGAGGCCUCCUUAGACACAUCAACAUGUCAGGCUUUGUAUUACAAAUCUAAAUAGGCUAACAUUUGGUUUGCCUUUAGAACUUAUACGAGGAUUAUAAACAUAAAAAACUAAAGCCGUGACUACACAGCCACUCAAAGUAUUUAAACUAGCUCGACCACAUUUACCCAUUCUGAUAUUCACUCAAUAUUAAAUAUCUCAUAUCUAUUGUUAACUGUGAAUCAAGAAAAAUAACUCAAAAGGCAAACAGAACACAUUUAAACUAUGGCAAAUUCCACCAUCUGCAUGUUUAAAGUUUUACUGAUGUUUCUUUACUUGGGGGUGGGGCAGACGUUUCAGAGUUCUCUCCCCAUGUCAUGUGGAUCCCAGAAUGGAACUCAGGCCGUUAGGCCUGUCACCAAGCACCUUUACUGUUGAGCCACUUCGAUGGCCCCUACUUUAUUAAUAUGUAAGACAGAGGGGGGAAAAAACUAUAGCUAUCAAGAUUUUUUGGUUUCUUUUACUCAAGGUCGCACUCUGGCCUCAAACUCCUGGUAAUCCUCAUGCUUUGUCCUCCCAAUUGCAGGCUUAGUCAGUGCACCCAGCUUUCUACUGUCAUUGAGUUAGACACAUUUGAAAAUACUUGAGGGUUAAUUAUUUUCCACUUUAUUUUCCUUUCAUCUGAAAUUCAGAAUUAAUGUGUAACCACAUUAGUGUAUGAAAAGGUUUCAUAGAAAAAUAAAGAACUUUAAAAUUUUACAAUAUUUCGUAUUUCAAGAUUCUUUUAGAUAAAACCAAUGUUACUGUGGUUGAAACACAGAAUCUGAUUUACAGAUUCUCACUUAAUCCCUGUAAUACAAAACAGUUGGUAAAAUGGUGGGUUCAACAAUAUUAAGAAAUCCAACAUGGAAGCUCCACCCAAACACCAUGUGUCUCCAGUGCCCAUGGGAGUGCCUCCUGCAAAGUGCAUGAGAUGGCCUUCUCAGCACUGUGCACACUACCAGUGUCCCAACACUGCCGUACUAAGUACAAAUAAACUGUAUGGUCUACAUUUACUGCUCCAAAAUUUUUAUCAGCUAUACAAGGGAAGAACAAACAUCCUUUUAUGAUGAAGACACUAAAUACCUCAGGCUUGCAGGCCCCUGAGGUCUCACUACUCCAAAAUGUAUGGGGAAAAUCAGGUAACAUACAUGAAAAUGAAUAAAUGUGCCUGUGGGCUACAAACUGUCCAAUGCUGGAUGGACUAGACAUGGAUUUGUAAACAGAAACAUAAUCCUAGGCCCACCAUGUGGCACAGGGCACAGGAAGCCACAUGUGUCAUGUGGGCACAGGAAGCGCAGAGAGCUGAGGAGGAAGAAACAUUAAUGGGCCACACUUUCCAAUCAGACUUGAAUGUGUGUCUGAGUAUGUAUACGUACACGUUACACAGCUAGCUUGCUUACUUCAUAGUCUUCUUGGUGUGCUAGGAACAGUGUCAAACCCACAUCACAUCACCAGGGACCAUGAAUAACUGAGUACUCAGAGGCUAAUCAAUAACCAGCAAUAUGGUUUUGACAUCUCAAUUUUUCUAUACAAUGACAGUAACUAAUCUGCUCUAUAUACACUAAAGAAUGUUGGGUGUGUAUUUCCAGAUGUCAUCUGAAAAUUAAAUUGAAUUGUUACAAUUUGAAGCUAAAUGUGAUUUGCUUUGUUUUAUUAGAAAAAAUACUCAAGCAAAGUCUACAAUCAUCGGUCAAUUAAGAAUGACUUACAAGAACAUGAGACAGUAAAAUAAAAAUACAGGUACAAACUCUAUGUCCAAAACACUUCUAUUUGGCAAUGUUAUAACAAACCAAAAUUUAAAAGGAACAAAGGAGAUUGCAGAGUACUUCGCAGAUAUAGAAUAAAACAAAUGAUGAAGUGCUUAAGCAAAAGAAAAAAAAAAUAGAACACACUGCUUUUCUUCUUUUGAAAAUAGACUCCC
Long non-coding RNA from Alexandromys fortis (reed vole), 4265 nucleotides. RefSeq lists it as uncharacterized. Lineage: Eukaryota; Metazoa; Chordata; Mammalia; Rodentia; Cricetidae. The transcript has 3 exons. The record is from RefSeq and is a predicted model, not a curated record.